GGGCUUGUGGUUUAGUGGUAUAAUACUCCCUUAGCACGGACACACCAACGGCAUCAUUCACGAUGUUUCUUUGCCAGAAGGUGUUCGUUUAAUAACUUGGGAGUGGUCCGGGGUUCGAUUCCCCGCGAGUCCA
Non-coding RNA from Hypoxylon trugodes, 133 nucleotides. Lineage: Eukaryota; Fungi; Ascomycota; Sordariomycetes; Xylariales; Hypoxylaceae. The record is from the annotation of a RefSeq genome assembly.